UAAUCAGUUAUAGUUUAUUUGGUGGUACCUACUACUCGGAUACCCGUAGUAAAUCUAGAGCUAAUACGUGCGUAAAUCCCGACUUCUGGAAGGGACGUAUUUAUUAGAUAAAAGGCCGACCGGGCUCUGCCCGACUCGCGGUGAAUCAUGAUAACUUCACGAAUCGCAUGGCCUUGCGCCGGCGAUGUUUCAUUCAAAUUCUGCCCUAUCAACUUCGAUGGUAGGAUAGAGGCCUACCAUGGGGUAACGGGGACUUUUGCCAGUGGCCCA
RNAcentral lists this ribosomal RNA (270 nucleotides) under Chlorella sorokiniana. RNAcentral describes it as "partial small subunit ribosomal RNA". It matches the Rfam family "Eukaryotic small subunit ribosomal RNA", at positions 104 to 380 of the family's 1831-position model. The record is from RNAcentral. Lineage: Eukaryota; Viridiplantae; Chlorophyta; Trebouxiophyceae; Chlorellales; Chlorellaceae.